AUACCAGCACCUGUUUUGAACUGAACUGAAACCAGCAUUCAUAAUGGAGGAUUCCCAGAGUUACAUUUAGGGGGGUGCGGUGGCGCAGUGGGUUAGACCGGGUCCUGCUCUCCAGCGGGUCUGGGGUUCGAGUCCCGCUUGGGGUGUCUUGCGACGGACUGGCGUCCCGUCCUGGGUGUGUCCCCUCCCCCUCCGGCCUUGCACCCUGUGUUGCCGGAGACAUCUUCAGGUUUCCUUCGCUGGUCAAAGCAAAGAGAAACAACGAUGCAAAACCAACAUUCCUUUCACCUGAUGUCGGAUAAACAUAACUGCAACCAAAUCAACAAAUGGAAAAGAAACAAGUAUCUUCUGUAUAUUUUAAUUCCCUGAAUCAUGUAUCUUCUACUCUGAUAGAUAUUGAUCUGUGGAUUUAGUUAAGAUAAUGACACAUAUGGGGUCUUCUUCUUCUUGUCUGUUAAUGUAAUUGAUAACCUGUAGGUAUACUUGGGACUCUAAGCCUUGAUGAUGCGUAUUUUUUGGGAUAACCAUUAAAUGACAUAAAGCAGCUCAAGACAGACCCAGCAGACUUGAGUUACAGCAGUGACUGUACCACUUGUCCGUGUUUACAAACUCCACAGGUGGCCUCCCAGGCCUAAAACCUUGCAGCAGCAUGUCUUCCACUUGUCCACUGUACACAACCAAAUGGCUGGUUCCUUCUCUUUCCAUUUACACACACUCUUGACAGGAUUUUACUGAGGCUGAGAGUCCCCAUUAUCCAGUUUAAUAACUAAACGCUUGGUAGAUUUCAUUCAGUUCUUUUUGUUCUUGUUAGUGUUCUUGCUUUUUUAUUUUUAUUUUGCUUGUAUAAAUUCAUAUGGUAGACAUGUAUGUUGUGAUGUAUAGAAAUAGCUGUAGAAAUGCAUUGUUUCCUUGUGGUAAGUGACUGAGAUGCUGCCACGGAUUUGAGACACUGAUAAAUGGUGCUAUUUUGGAAUUUUAUCUGCUCCUUGGUAAGGUAGCUCAGAUGGGUUUUAUUUACAUUUUUCAUGUUCUAAGAAGGUAUUGGUUCUUUGUUGUCUGGUUGUUGUAACUUGGUCUGGAUUGACUUAUUUUUCUGCCGUUUUCUGUGUGGCUUUCUUAUUGGGUGUAAGAUAAUAAUUAAAUAAAAAUGCAAAAGGCAGAUGGCUCUUAAGAAUA
This 1176-nucleotide long non-coding RNA is filed under the name Scleropages formosus (Asian bonytongue). RNAcentral describes it as "lncRNA (ENSSFOG00015029821.1)". Lineage: Eukaryota; Metazoa; Chordata; Actinopteri; Osteoglossiformes; Osteoglossidae. The record is from RNAcentral.